Molecule: microRNA precursor, 86 nt
Filed under: Homo sapiens (human)
Lineage: Eukaryota; Metazoa; Chordata; Mammalia; Primates; Hominidae
Description: mir-544 microRNA precursor family
Rfam family: mir-544 microRNA precursor family
Source: Rfam by way of RNAcentral
AUCAUCUAGGGAUCUUGUUAAAAUGCAGAUUCUGAAUUCAGCAGAUCGGCAUUCUGGAUUUCUAACAAGCUCCCAGGUGACGCAGA